CAGUAGCCACGGGAAUACAGAGGGUGCAAGCGUUAAUCGGAAUUACUGGGCGUAAAGCGCGCGUAGGUGGUUUGUUAAGUUGGAUGUGAAAUCCCCGGGCUCAACCUGGGAACUGCAUCCAAAACUGGCAGGCUAGAGUAGGGCAGAGGGUGGUGGAAUUUCCUGUGUAGCGGUGAAAUGCGUAGAUAUAGGAAGGAACACCAGUGGCGAAGGCGACCACCUGGGCUCAUACUGACACUGAGGUGCGAAAGCGUGGGGAGCAAACAGGAUUAGAUACCCGCGUAGUCCCUGUCUCUUAUAC
This 301-nucleotide ribosomal RNA is filed under the name uncultured bacterium. RNAcentral describes it as "partial 16S ribosomal RNA". It matches the Rfam family "Bacterial small subunit ribosomal RNA", at positions 509 to 807 of the family's 1533-position model. The record is from RNAcentral.